Molecule: long non-coding RNA, 1508 nt
Filed under: Marmota monax (woodchuck)
Lineage: Eukaryota; Metazoa; Chordata; Mammalia; Rodentia; Sciuridae
Source: RNAcentral
CAUCAGCUUGGAGGGUGGAACCAGGGUCUGGGCAGAGAGGAGGCCUGAGGUGGGGUUUCCUUCUCCCACUUUGGCCCUUUAAACAGGCUGUCCUCCCUGCUUGGCCUGGCCUUCCUCUUCUUGUCCUGUCCAAGCCUUCAUGUUUUUAAGGCCCUGAUCACUGAUGUCCCCUGUCAGUCCUUCCUGAGCCACAGCCCAAUGCUGUCCUUACCCCAGAAUACCCACAGACCCCUGAGCUGCCUCAAUCUGGGUGGUCAGUGACCAGGUUGUGCAGGUUUCUGUUCUAGGUGUGGUGGUUAGACCCUGACUCCAAACUCCAUGCCUGCUGGGUGACCCUGGGCAUAUGACCUCACCUCUCUGUUUCUUCAUCUGCAGGAUGACAGUAGCAGCCCCAGUUUUCAGGGUUCUCUAGGGGAUUAAAUGAGGUUGUGCUUCUGAUAUAGCAAACCACACUGCCUCAGAAAGUCAUCCUGCUGGGACACACACGUCCAUGCAUGUCAUUCCCAUGAUUUGUGAGUCCCCUGAGAGCCGGGCCUCGUGUCUGGUGCUGACUUCAUGGUGAGGCAGGAUGGGGGUCUUGGUGAUUGCUUCUGAGUGCAUGGGCACCCCAUUCUACUCACGUGGGAUCCCUAAGGAAACCAACAACUGGAGCAGUGGUCACUAUGGGAUCCCUGCAUCAUCUUGUUUGAUGCUGACCACCCUGGGACAGGGGAUUAUUAGACCCAUUUUGCAGAGACUGAAACUGAGGCCUAGAGAGUCGAGGCUGCCUGUGUAAUGACCACUAGAGAAGUCGGGUUUGGCACCUGAGUCUGGCUGACGUUCUUGGGUGGGCCUCUGUCCUCUCAUGCCCCUUGCUAAUGGCCCAGACCCCUUCCCUCCCUCUUGGUGUCCUUGCCCAUGUCCAGGCCACCCCUGGAGUGCUGGGUGAGGGGAGUAGAUGUGGGGGCCCAGAGUGUUCUGUCAGUUCAUGAACCUGUGCCCUGUAACACACACACGUGUGCGUGUGUGUACAUGCGUGAACGCACACACGGUCUGUAGCUGGCACGUUCCUCCAGCCCUGUCUGCAGGUCGGUGUCCGGCCUGUCUUCACUGCCGGGAACCCGCCAAGGGCCCUGUGAAACGCUGCUCAGCGAUUCCUUGGCCUCAGCCUCCAGGCAGUCAGCACCCGGGAAGUGGGAUGGGUUCAGGGGCCCCCCACUCUGGCCCAGCGACUGGGCACAGGGGACUGGCAUGGGAGGAACCAGCACCGUCUGUCCAGGGUCAUCAGCAGGGGCACUGGGGGCCUCAGGCAGCCCACCCCUUGUGGGCUCUCUCCUUGUGUGUUGAGUGGCCUCACAGUCCCUCGUCCACUCUCUACCAGGCCAGGCUGGACAUGAGGCUCAUCUGGAAGGAGGGACGAAGAGGACUGAGGGGGAGAGCAGAAGUGCCAGGCGUCCCUGGUGGCUUCUGGUGGCCUUCAGAGGAGUCCACGAUGCUCCACCUGGCCAGCUGGAGAGGUGCAGCGUAGG